RNAcentral lists this ribosomal RNA (428 nucleotides) under uncultured organism. RNAcentral's name for it is "bacterial SSU rRNA". It matches the Rfam family "Bacterial small subunit ribosomal RNA", at positions 356 to 775 of the family's 1533-position model. The record is from RNAcentral.
GGGGAAUAUUGGACAAUGGGGGGAACCCUGAUCCAGCCAUGCCGCGUGUGUGAAGAAGGUCUUCGGAUUGUAAAGCACUUUAAGUUGUGAGGAAGGGCUCCGGGUUAAUACCCUGUGAGUUUUGACGUUAGCAACAGAAUAAGCACCGGCUAACUUCGUGCCAGCAGCCGCGGUAAUACGAAGGGUGCGAGCGUUAAUCGGAAUUACUGGGCGUAAAGCGCGCGUAGGUGGUUUGGUCAGUUGGAAGUGAAAGCCCCGGGCUCAACCUGGGAAUUGCUUUCAAAACCGCCGAGCUAGAGUACGGUAGAGGGUAGUGGAAUUUCCUGUGUAGCGGUGAAAUGCGUAGAUAUAGGAAGGAACAUCAGUGGCGAAGGCGACUACCUGGACUGAUACUGACACUGAGGUGCGAAAGCGUGGGGAGCAAACAG